This is a long non-coding RNA of Dreissena polymorpha, 552 nucleotides long. RefSeq lists it as uncharacterized. The record is from RefSeq and is a predicted model, not a curated record. Lineage: Eukaryota; Metazoa; Mollusca; Bivalvia; Myida; Dreissenidae. The transcript has 2 exons.
GCUCAUUUUAAUUUUGAAUGUAGUGUUGUACGAAUUUUCUUGUCGUCUAAAAGAAAGUAAACACUUGCCAUCAUAAACAGACUAGCGGAUGGUAACAAUAAAUUAUUUCCUGACAAUUUUCUGGUGUGUAAUCAUUUUUAUCUUUUAGACAUCUUUCGAAACUAUGAUCUGAUAUUUUGACAAAGCUUGAAGUCAGUAAAAAGAGUUCGCAUAUGAUUGUUAGAAUUUUAUUUUUACAUAACAAUAAAUUACAGCGUUGCUAUAACGAUGGAAUAAAUAAAGCACACAGUUGACCGAUGGCGUAGUAACAGUAACUGGUAAAAUACAUGUUGUAGUACACGCUCGACAAUCGAGGACGUCGUCUACUUGCCAGUUCUGAAAAAGAAGAAAGUACUUACUUCCGCCGCUUCCGAAUCCGUCCCCUCCCUGUGAUGGGACUCCGCCGAAGCCGAACUGGGCGGCAGCCAUGCCGAUGAUGCAGGCGAAAGCAAGAGCGAUAACUGCGACGGAUUUCAUGGUUGCUGAUUGGCUGGCUAUAAAUAGAAAAUCAGA